Molecule: long non-coding RNA, 507 nt
Organism: Gadus morhua (Atlantic cod)
Lineage: Eukaryota; Metazoa; Chordata; Actinopteri; Gadiformes; Gadidae
Exons: 2
Source: RefSeq, a predicted model, not a curated record
UGCGAAAGGGACUGCACGAAGCUAUUAUGUGACACGUUCAGCUCAGCUGCACUUAGGAGGUAAUGAUGCAUCACUCGAUUGGUAGUGCCCUCGUUCCAGAAAAUGGACGAAACAGAACAGCAGGAGGUCCAAAGGAUACGUUUGUCAAAUGAUGAAGAAGAAAAGGAUCCCCUGCUCUUCACCUUUUAUUUUCGGGAAGACAUGGAUUCAGAUUCAGAAAACUUUAUUGUCUGUCGUAACAGUAAAUCAUCUUUGAAAAUGUCUUCCUUAACAUGGCAGCUGAGGAGGAUCUUCAAGUCAACGCCAUGUUCCUGGGUCACUGGGUCACUCAUUGACAUUGCGAUGUGUGUGUGUGUGUGUGUGUGUGUGUGUGUGUGUGUGUGUGUGUGUGUGUGUGUGUGUGUGUGUGUGUGUGUGUGUGUGUGUGUGUGUGUGUGUGUGUUGAGGUUUUGAGUUUGGUUAUCUGUUGAGUGUAUGACGCGCUUCUGAAUAAAGUGUUAAAACGUU